GAGUUUGAUCAUGGCUCAGAAUCAACGCUGGCGGCGUGCCUAACACAUGCAAGUCGGACGCGAAAGCGGCUUCGGCCGCAAGUAGAGUGGCAAACGGGUGAGUAACACGUGGGUGACCUGCCUUCGAGUGGGGGAUAACGUCUCGAAAGGGACGCUAAUACCGCAUAACAUCCCGCCUUUGGACAGGCGGAGAUCAAAGCCGGGGACCGCAAGGCCUGGCGCUUGGAGAGGGGCCCGCGCCGGAUUAGCUAGUUGGUGAGGUAACGGCCCACCAAGGCGACGAUCCGUAGCCGGCCUGAGAGGGCGGACGGCCACACUGGGACUGAGACACGGCCCAGACUCCUACGGGAGGCAGCAGUGGGGAAUUGUUCGCAAUGGGCGCAAGCCUGACGACGCAACGCCGCGUGGAGGACGAAGAUCUUCGGAUCGUAAACUCCUGUCGAGCGGGAAGAAUGGCCCGGGACCUAACACGUCUCGGGAGUGACGGUACCGCUAAAGGAAGCCCCGGCUAACUCCGUGCCAGCAGCCGCGGUAAUACGGGGGGGGCCAGCGUUGUUCGGAAUUACUGGGCGUAAAGGGCGCGUAGGCGGCCUUCUAAGUCAGACGUGAAAUCCCUCGGCUCAACCGGGGAACUGCGUCUGAUACUGG
Molecule: ribosomal RNA, 648 nt
Filed under: uncultured Acidobacteriota bacterium
Lineage: Bacteria; Pseudomonadati; Acidobacteriota
Description: bacterial SSU rRNA
Rfam family: Bacterial small subunit ribosomal RNA
Source: RNAcentral